Molecule: long non-coding RNA, 303 nt
Organism: Oreochromis aureus
Lineage: Eukaryota; Metazoa; Chordata; Actinopteri; Cichliformes; Cichlidae
Source: Ensembl
UGCUGACAGCUGGGACUGAUUUCCACAAACUGUUGUGGUUUAGAGACACAGAGAUGAACGGAUGGCAAAGCAAAAUCCGGAGAAACAGAGGAAAACGGAGAAAUAUUUCUGUUUGGCUGAAAAACAUGCUUCUUGCAAAAACUUCUGACUUGUUUCCACCAAGCUGGUUCGUUUCUGGAAGAUUCUGGACAAACACUCACCUCUCUAACUCACCUGCCUGUCCAACAGCACAAACUCCUCACAGAAGCCUGACCGGUCGGUCCUCCCGUCAUGCUGCUCCCAAGUAAAAAUACUCAUCAGCAC